This 254-nucleotide ribosomal RNA is filed under the name uncultured bacterium. RNAcentral describes it as "partial 16S ribosomal RNA". It matches the Rfam family "Bacterial small subunit ribosomal RNA", at positions 524 to 777 of the family's 1533-position model. The record is from RNAcentral.
UACGAAGGGGGCUAGCGUUGCUCGGAAUCACUGGGCGUAAAGGGUGCGUAGGCGGGUCUUUAAGUCAGGGGUGAAAUCCUGGAGCUCAACUCCAGAACUGCCUUUGAUACUGAGGAUCUUGAGUCCGGGAGAGGUGAGUGGAACUGCGAGUGUAGAGGUGAAAUUCGUAGAUAUUCGCAAGAACACCAGUGGCGAAGGCGGCUCACUGGCCCGAUACUGACGCUGAGGCACGAAAGCGUGGGGAGCAAACAGGG